GUUGUGGCUCAGUGGUAGAGCGCUUGCCUUGCACAUGUGAGGCACUGGGUUCAAUCCUCAGCACACA
This 67-nucleotide transfer RNA is filed under the name Marmota monax (woodchuck). Its description in RNAcentral is "tRNA.Ala". Lineage: Eukaryota; Metazoa; Chordata; Mammalia; Rodentia; Sciuridae. The record is from RNAcentral.